This 406-nucleotide unclassified non-coding RNA is filed under the name fungal sp. RNAcentral describes it as "partial internal transcribed spacer region". The stretch from base 1 to 46 matches the Rfam family "Eukaryotic small subunit ribosomal RNA", at positions 1786 to 1831 of the family's 1831-position model. Lineage: Eukaryota; Fungi. The record is from RNAcentral.
AAGUCGUAACAAGGUCUCCGUAGGUGAACCUGCGGAGGGAUCAUUAACACGUUUCCAUAACGUUUUAACUUCUAUCAACCAACCGCGUGAAUUAAUUGAAUCAAUCAUACCCCGACCUAGAACGAAAGAGAAUCUGUUUGACUGACACGGAGUGAUGAGUAUGUUUCUUUGCCCGUUAAACGGCAUAAAUAUACGGUGCUUUCAAACUAGUAGUGCAUGGACAUUACAAGAACUCUCUCUUUUAGGCUUUUAACUAAAACUGUUCCCUUCAUCACUGGAGCGAAAACACCCCUUUCACCCCUUUAUAACCACUUGACUGAUAUGUUUGUACUGUUUUACGACAGCUAUGAACUGAUAAUAAUCAAAUAUCUAAGCACAACUCUUAGCAACGGAUAUCUUGGUUCUC